Molecule: ribosomal RNA, 269 nt
Filed under: uncultured bacterium
Lineage: Bacteria
Description: partial 16S ribosomal RNA
Rfam family: Bacterial small subunit ribosomal RNA
Source: RNAcentral
UACGGAGGGGGUUAGCGUUGUUCGGAAUUACUGGGCGUAAAGCGCGCGUAGGCGGACUAUUAAGUCAGGGGUGAAAUCCCGGGGCUCAACCCCGGAACUGCCUUUGAUACUGGUAGUCUUGAGUUCGAGAGAGGUGAGUGGAACUCGAGUGUAGAGGUGAAAUUCGUAGAUAUUCGGAAGAACACCAGUGGCGAAGGCGGCUCACUGGCUCGAUACUGACGCUGAGGUGCGAAAGUGUGGGGAGCAAACAGGAUUAGAUACCCGGUGUC